Molecule: ribosomal RNA, 460 nt
Filed under: uncultured bacterium
Lineage: Bacteria
Description: partial 16S ribosomal RNA
Rfam family: Bacterial small subunit ribosomal RNA
Source: RNAcentral
CCUACGGGUGGCAGCAGUGAGGAAUAUUGGUCAAUGGACGAGAGUCUGAACCAGCCAAGUAGCGUGAAGGAUGACUGCCCUAUGGGUUGUAAACUUCUUUUAUAUGGGAAUAACAUGUUCCACGUGUGGGAUUUUGUAUGUACCAUAUGAAUAAGGAUCGGCUAACUCCGUGCCAGCAGCCGCGGUAAUCCGGAGGAUCCGAGCGUUAUCCGGAUUUAUUGGGUUUAAAGGGAGCGUAGGUGGAUUGUUAAGUCAGUUGUGAAAGUUUGCGGCUAAACCGUAAAAUUGCAGUUGAAACUGGCAGUCUUGAGUACAGUAGAGGUGGGCGGAAUUCGGGGUGUAGCGGUGAAAUGCUUAGAUAUCACGAAGAACUCCGAUUGCGAAGGCAGUUCACUGGACUGCAACUGACACUGAGGCUCGAAAGUGUGGGUAUCAAACAGGAUUAGAUACCCCAGUAGUC